GCCGGGCAUGGUGGCGCAUGCCUGUAAUCCCAGCUACUCGGGAGGCUGAGGCAGGAGAAUUGCUUGAACCCGUGAGACAGAGGUUGCAGUGAGCCGAGAUUGUGCCACUGCACUCCAUCCUGGGUAACAGAGCAAGACUCCGUCUCAA
Non-coding RNA from Gorilla gorilla gorilla (western lowland gorilla), 148 nucleotides. It matches the Rfam family "Metazoan signal recognition particle RNA". Rfam says of the family: The signal recognition particle (SRP) is a universally conserved ribonucleoprotein. It is involved in the co-translational targeting of proteins to membranes. The record is from Rfam. NCBI's taxonomy places the organism in Eukaryota, Metazoa, Chordata, Mammalia, Primates, Hominidae.